RNAcentral lists this ribosomal RNA (213 nucleotides) under uncultured cyanobacterium. RNAcentral describes it as "partial 16S ribosomal RNA". It matches the Rfam family "Bacterial small subunit ribosomal RNA", at positions 1045 to 1259 of the family's 1533-position model. Lineage: Bacteria; Bacillati; Cyanobacteriota. The record is from RNAcentral.
AUGGCUGUCGUCAGCUCGUGUCGUGAGAUGUUGGGUUAAGUCCCGCAACGAGCGCAACCCGCGUCCUUAGUUGCCAGCAUUCAGUUGGGCACUCUGGGGAGACUGCCGGUGACAAGCCGGAGGAAGGUGCGGAUGACGUCAAGUCAGCAUGCCCCUUACGCCCUGGGCGUCACACGUGCUACAAUGGCCAGUACAAAGGGUAGCCAGCCAGCG